GGGCCCAGCUUGGGAGAUGCAAUGUCCACCAACACAUCAAACUUUCAUUCACAAGCAUGCUGCAGCAGUGAGGAGGUGCACACGGGUUGGCUGGAAUUAAAGUNCAGUUGAAGCAUCUCANAUGAUCUUGCAUGCCANGGCNUGCACCNAUUUUCCAAUUAACACANUCCUUCACUUGAGCUCCACACGAACACUUUCUUUGGGUUGGAGAAGAAGAAAUCGAGNAGCUUGGUUGCAGCACCACCUCUACACGNACAGAAACACUUCUCGGUCCAGCCUUU
RNAcentral lists this long non-coding RNA (281 nucleotides) under Vigna radiata. RNAcentral describes it as "long non-coding RNA (VRAD_LNC011427)". Lineage: Eukaryota; Viridiplantae; Streptophyta; Magnoliopsida; Fabales; Fabaceae. The record is from RNAcentral.